AGCUUACUACGCAUAUAUUGACGCUGAGGCACGAAAGCGUGGGGAUCAAACAGGAUUAGAUACCCUGGUAGUCCACGCCCUAAACGAUGGAUACUAGCUGUUCGGACGCAAGUUUGAGUGGCUAAGCGAAAGUGAUAAGUAUCCCACCUGGGGAGUACGGGCGCAAGCCUGAAACUCAAAGGAAUUGACGGGGGCCCGCACAAGCGGUGGAGCAUGUGGUUUACUUCGAUGAUACGCGAGGAACCUUACCAGGGCUUAAAUGUAGGUUGACAGGCUUGGAAACAGGUUUUUCUUCGGACAACUUACAAGGUGCUGCAUGGUUGUCGUCAGCUCGUGCCGUGAGGUGUCAGGUUAAGUCCUAUAACGAGCGCAACCCCUGUCGUUAGUUGCCAGCGAGUCAUGUCGGGAACUCUAAAGAAACUGCCGUCGUAAGACGUGAGGAAGGAGGGGAUGAUGUCAAGUCAUCAUGGCCUUUAUGCCCAGGGCUACACACGUGCUACAAUGGGAAGG
Molecule: ribosomal RNA, 510 nt
Filed under: uncultured Aequorivita sp.
Lineage: Bacteria; Pseudomonadati; Bacteroidota; Flavobacteriia; Flavobacteriales; Flavobacteriaceae
Description: bacterial SSU rRNA
Rfam family: Bacterial small subunit ribosomal RNA
Source: RNAcentral